RNAcentral lists this ribosomal RNA (253 nucleotides) under uncultured bacterium. RNAcentral's name for it is "partial 16S ribosomal RNA". It matches the Rfam family "Bacterial small subunit ribosomal RNA", at positions 524 to 776 of the family's 1533-position model. The record is from RNAcentral.
UACGGAGGUGGCAAGCGUUGUUCGGAAUUACUGGGCGUAAAGGGCGCGUAGGCGGCCUGCUAAGUCGGAUGUGAAAUCCCUCGGCUCAACCGAGGAACUGCAUCCGAUACUGGCGGGCUUGAAUCCGGGAGAGGGAUGUGGAAUUCCAGGUGUAGCGGUGAAAUGCGUAGAUAUCUGGAGGAACACCGGUGGCGAAGGCGGCAUCCUGGACCAAUUCUGACGCUGAGGAGCGAAAGCCAGGGGAGCAAACGGG